AAAAAGAGCAAAGGAAAGGAUCCCUAAACCUAAUAAGCAGAUGCUGCUAUGGAGAAACUUCACCAUGAUAUUCAUAUAUGAUCUUCGGUAAACCUUCCAUUAGUGGCCCACUGAGAUGGGUCUCUCGGCUAAACCCAGAGGAGAACGUGAGCGUUCCCUGGUGAUUUUGCAUAUAACACGUCUCAUCUCUGUCUGCUUCAGCGACGG
Molecule: unclassified non-coding RNA, 207 nt
Filed under: Hevea brasiliensis (rubber tree)
Lineage: Eukaryota; Viridiplantae; Streptophyta; Magnoliopsida; Malpighiales; Euphorbiaceae
Source: RNAcentral